CACAUGCUUCUGCUUCAAAAAUGAUCCAUGACUAUUGUGUCUUGAUUUUUAUUUAAUGUCAGUGCUGUAUUUUAAAUUCCUGUUUCUUUAUAUUAUAGUGAUAGGCCUCUUGGCCUGGCUGUUCUUGUAAGUCCAAACAUGUUCUCAAUUAACUUGCCUGGCUGAAGAUUGCUUUAAUGAACACACAUACGCACAUGCACACACAAACAUGGGUGCACACGUACAUAAACACAGACAUGCACAUGCGCGUUUUAACAUCUGUUGUGAAUCCAAAAGUAAUUUGCGGAGUGAAACGACAAAGUCAGGAAAAACAAGCAUUUUGGUUGCAAUUCCGUCUGAUUGUUCCAAACAUCACGUGUCCUGCUGAUCAUCAAAGUCUGGAAUUUUUUGAAUAGAGUGAACCUAUGAGGGAGUGUAGGAUCUAAAGCUGGUGGGUGGUUGGGGCUAAGAAAAGCCCUGUGACAUAGUAUAAUGCAGAUAGACUCCUGAGCCGUAUCUACAAAGCUGGAGAAUCUGCAUGCAAACAGAAGUGUGUAUGUUCAUUCCAAGCUAAAAUUCCCUUUUUUAAAUUAACGUGUUUGCAGAGACUAAAGUGUUUUCAGUCAAAAUAGUGGAAAUCUGAAAUUGGGAGCAGACGUGCCAAAUAAAAUUAGAUGCUCGCAUUCGGUUAAAACUACAUUUUUUACUCUGUCGCACUGUGAGCUUACAUGCUACUUUCUUCAAACACCGACACCUUCAGUUUCAUGUAUUUCAAAUGUGCCAUUGUGUGCAUGCUUUUAAUACCAGUUUCACUUCGUUUCUGUGAGGGCGGCACGGUGAUGCAGUGGGUAGCACUGUCGACUAAGAAGGUCCAUUGGUAUGAGUGUGAGAGCAAAUGUCCAGGGUGUAUUCCAGCCUCUCACCCAAUGCAUGCUGGGAUAGGCUCCAACACCCUCCGCGACCCUGACCAGGAUCUAGCGGGAAUAGACGGUGGAUGGAUGGAUGGAUGGACUUAGUUUCUGUAAAAUACCCACAUUUUGUUCUCACAGCACAAUCACUCUAGGAAACCCAAUAUUUUGGUUACUGUAUCUGACCCCUUAGGCUUGAUUAAUCCCUAAAACUGGACUUUACUUCAACAUUGCUACAAACUAUUUGUGAAUGCGACAUGUAGGCCUAAUUAGCAUUGAGUAUGAUUCAUUACUAACUGUUGCAGUUAAGGUUUAGACGCACUGUCAUGUGCACCUCCUUUGAUCUCUACAGUAGAUGGCUUCAUAACAGUAUUUGCUAAAUGAAAAACAAUAAUAAUAUGAAUCUACAUCUAAUGUGUGUGAUCUUAGUGGGAAAGCGACAAAUAAAUGUAUUUUUCAGAACAUUAUUGUGUGAUUUUGUUAUUUAGAAGUUAGCAAUUGAAGGACAGGUUUGUAGAACUUCAUAUUUACACUUGUAUUUUGGAGACGCUGGAGUAGCACGCACAGAGCACUGACAGCACCAAGUUACGUUAUGUGGCAGUGCAUAGCAAGUGUUUGACAACACAUCGUGAAGUGAUAGUAUGCGCAUGCUGGUAUUUGAGUAUAGUCGUUAAUGUUACAGACUUAUGUCCUCGAGUAUUUUACACAAAUCGAGUUUAGGGUGGCGACGAACAUUGGGACAAGAUGCAGUUUCAAGCGGUAUUUCCCCAUGUUCUAUCUCCUAUUCAUUGUACCAAUUUAUGAAUUAUGUCCUCAAAAACAUCAUACAUUUCGUAGUUGAUAGUGAAAUCAUUAGUAGUAAUUACUUGUACAAGACGCUAUAACGCCUAACACUUCAAACAGCGUCCGUAAGCACGCUGUUAUCUAGUCAUCAGCAGAAGACGCGAAUGCGCGCGGUUUUGUCUCGGGCCCUUUAAGACGCGGACUAGGGUGGUGCCAGCAGUAGCAAAGCAAAGUACAGCGAAGCUGUGUGCUCAGGAAGCGGAGAUUCCCAUACAUUUCCCAAAAAAUUGAAGGCGUGUUUACAUUGUUUUAAGGUUUUAAGUUUUAUUUAGCUGCAUUUAAUUCAAUAAUGCUGGAUGGUCGCACUGAUGAGAUUCACCAAGGACAUUUGCUGGCUGCUGGGGUUUGGAAACGAAUCCCCCGGGGAGUCACAGCGGCAGGAGGAGUCCCAAGAGAAAGAAGGCCCAAGCCCUGAGAAGAAUGAGGAGGUCACGCUGUCACAGGACGUCCUGAGUGGGGAGGAGGGUCUCAGUGAGGAGGAGAGAGCCAGGCGCAGAGCAGAGCGGCGUAGAGCCAGGAGAAAGCGUCAACGUGAACGAAAGAAACAAGAUAAAGAGAAGAAGAGUGAGAGAAGAGAGCAGCUCUCAACAGUUACAUUUACCCAUCUCUGUAAUGGAAGAGGACAGAGAGGCAGACAGACAGGCAGGCAGGCAGGCAGGCAGGCAGGCAGGUGGAGAGAUGAUGUACAUGACUGAGUACGCCUGUAAUAGCGGAAUAAGCCACUCUUUGGUUUGGACUGGUGAAAUAAAGAGUUCUUUAUUCAUGUACAUGGCCUUCCUCGUGUCCAUUAUAAAAUAUCACAGGCAUGACAUCACUACUUCUGCUUUUACAGUAACAUAAAAACAGGGAAGAAGGAUCUGCCCCCCC
Molecule: long non-coding RNA, 2597 nt
Organism: Anguilla rostrata (American eel)
Lineage: Eukaryota; Metazoa; Chordata; Actinopteri; Anguilliformes; Anguillidae
Exons: 5
Source: RefSeq, a predicted model, not a curated record